This 474-nucleotide ribosomal RNA is filed under the name uncultured bacterium. RNAcentral describes it as "partial 16S ribosomal RNA". It matches the Rfam family "Bacterial small subunit ribosomal RNA", at positions 28 to 507 of the family's 1533-position model. The record is from RNAcentral.
GACGAACGCUGGCGGCGUGCUUAACACAUGCAAGUCGAACGGUAAGGCCCUUCGGGGUACACGAGUGGCGAACGGGUGAGUAACACGUGGGUAAUCUGCCCUGCACAUCGGGAUAAGCCUGGGAAACUGGGUCUAAUACCGAAUAGGACCACAGGACACAUGUCCUGUGGUGGAAAGCUUUUGCGGUGUGGGAUGGGCCCGCGGCCUAUCAGCUUGUUGGUGGGGUGAUGGCCUACCAAGGCGACGACGGGUAGCCGGCCUGAGAGGGUGUCCGGCCACACUGGGACUGAGAUACGGCCCAGACUCCUACGGGAGGCAGCAGGGGGGAAUAUUGCACAAUGGGCGAAAGCCUGAUGCAGCGACGCCGCGUGGGGGAUGACGGCCUUCGGGUUGUAAACCUCUUUCACCAUCGACGAAGGUCCGGGUUUUCUCGGGCUGACGGUAGGUGGAGAAGAAGCACCGGCCAACUACGUG